AUACUUGUCUGGCUUGUUUAACCCCUUAAGGACUUCUGGAAUAAACUUCUGGAAUAAAAGGGAAUCAUGACAUGUUACACAUGUCAUGUGUCCUUAAGGAGUUAAGCAAUCCAGCUUUUACUGCCUAUAUUGUCCAUGAUAAGCAGCCAUCAAGAACUAUACAGAUGUAUUCUCUAAACCAGCAAUUAUGGACAAAUGACUAAGAAAAAUGUGAGGCAAAUAAUGUCUGAAGUCCCCUGGCACCAUCCCUCCAUUAAACAUUAAACAAUUUUUUAAGUUUUCAUGCUAAACGAGAGCUCCCAGCAGCCCAAUCCCCUCCGUGCUGCAUGAGCAAAUAAGGAAGCAUUAGCCUGAGAAACAAUGGGUGGCUGUGAUUGGUUGAGAGUGUCAGCUGACCACUUUCAGCCUAUCACAGCACCCUUUGCUGGU
This is a non-coding RNA of Pelobates cultripes (western spadefoot toad), 429 nucleotides long. The record is from the annotation of a GenBank genome assembly. NCBI's taxonomy places the organism in Eukaryota, Metazoa, Chordata, Amphibia, Anura, Pelobatidae.